CACAGGGGGGUGUACACCUCUGCGAUAUUAGGAGUAAUAUCAUUGUCUCCCCCUGGAUAUUAGGAACAAUACCAAAGGGGGGCAUCACUGGAUAUUAAGAGAAAUAUCACAAAAGAAGUGUACACCUCCUGUGAUAUUGGGUGUAAUAUGUAGUCCUCAUGAUAUUGGGAAUAAUAUCGUCCCCUUAUUUUUUGAAUUCUAGGAACAGUAUCACAGGAGACGUGUACAUCCUCUGCUAUAUUGGGAGUAAUAUCACCCUCUCCCCCACUGUAUACCAAAAACAAUAUAACAGUGGGGUUGUACACCGCUGUGAUACUGAGAGUAAUAUCAUUCCCUCCCUUACUGGAUAUGCGAAACAAUAUCAAUUACAUUGUUGUUUUGUAUUACAGUGGGAAGUUAUUCCUCUUUCAUUUAAGACCAUUUUCUCCACAUGGUUUUGU
RNAcentral lists this long non-coding RNA (440 nucleotides) under Pan troglodytes (chimpanzee). Its description in RNAcentral is "long non-coding RNA NONPTRT004297". The record is from RNAcentral. Lineage: Eukaryota; Metazoa; Chordata; Mammalia; Primates; Hominidae.